UGCCAGCAGCCGCGGUAAUACGGAGGGUGCAAGCGUUAAUCGGAAUUACUGGGCGUAAAGCGCGCGUAGGCGGCUUUGUAAGUCGGAUGUGAAAGCCCUGGGCUCAACCUGGGAAUUGCAUUCGAUACUGCAUGGCUAGAGUAUGGUAGAGGGAAGUGGAAUUUCCGGUGUAGCGGUGAAAUGCGUAGAUAUUCGGAGGAACACCAGUGGCGAAGGCGGCUUUCUGGACCGAUACUGACGCUGAGACGCGAAAGCGUGGGGAGCAAACAGGAUUAGAUA
RNAcentral lists this ribosomal RNA (279 nucleotides) under uncultured bacterium. RNAcentral describes it as "partial 16S ribosomal RNA". It matches the Rfam family "Bacterial small subunit ribosomal RNA", at positions 506 to 784 of the family's 1533-position model. The record is from RNAcentral.